UACGUAGGUGGCAAGCGUUGUCCGGAUUUAUUGGGUUUAAAGGGUGCGUAGGCGGUCUUAUAAGUCAGUGCUGAAAUAUCCCGGCUUAACCGGGAGGGUGGCAUUGAUACUGUAGGACUUGAGUAGAGUUGAGGUUGGCGGAAUUGACGGUGUAGCGGUGAAAUGCUUAGAUAUCGUCAAGAACACCUAUUGCGAAGGCAGCUCACUAAGCUUUAACUGACACUGAGGCACGAAAGUGUGGGGAUCAAACAGG
RNAcentral lists this ribosomal RNA (253 nucleotides) under uncultured bacterium. RNAcentral describes it as "partial 16S ribosomal RNA". It matches the Rfam family "Bacterial small subunit ribosomal RNA", at positions 524 to 776 of the family's 1533-position model. The record is from RNAcentral.